UAGACUAACUCUUAUGGAUAGAAUUUAGCUGUUAACUAAAAAAUUGUAGGAUAAAAACCUACUAGUCUAG
RNAcentral lists this transfer RNA (70 nucleotides) under Necturus beyeri (Gulf Coast waterdog). Its description in RNAcentral is "tRNA-Asn". Lineage: Eukaryota; Metazoa; Chordata; Amphibia; Caudata; Proteidae. The record is from RNAcentral.